Molecule: ribosomal RNA, 460 nt
Filed under: uncultured bacterium
Lineage: Bacteria
Description: partial 16S ribosomal RNA
Rfam family: Bacterial small subunit ribosomal RNA
Source: RNAcentral
CCUACGGGCGGCAGCAGUGAGGAAUAUUGGUCAAUGGACGAUAGUCUGAACCAGCCAAGUAGCGUGAAGGAUGACUGCCCUAUGGGUUGUAAACUUCUUUUAUAUGGGAAUAAAAUGUUCCACGUGUGGGAUUUUGUAUGUACCAUAUGAAUAAGGAUCGGCUAACUCCGUGCCAGCAGCCGCGGUAAUACGGAGGAUCCGAGCGUUAUCCGGAUUUAUUGGGUUUAAAGGGAGUGUAGAUGGAUUGUUAAGUCAGUUGUGAAAGUUUGCGGCUCAACCGUAAAAUUGCAGUUGAUACUGGCAGUCUUGAGUACAGUAGAGGUGAGCGGAAUUCGUGGUGUAGCGGUGAAAUGCUUAGAUAUCACGAAGAACUCCGAUUGCGAAGGCAGUUCACUGGACUGCAACUGACACUGAGGCUCGAAAGUGUGGGUAUCAAACAGGAUUAGAUACCCCAGUAGUC